This 95-nucleotide non-coding RNA is filed under the name human gut metagenome. RNAcentral's name for it is "NiCo riboswitch". It matches the Rfam family "NiCo (Nickel/Cobalt) riboswitch aptamer". The record is from RNAcentral.
ACAGUACAAACUGAGCAGGCGCUGGACAGUGUCCAUGUAGCCGGGCCCUUCGGGCAGCGGAUGUUGAUAAUGAAUCAGAACAUCUGUGGGACAGU